This 366-nucleotide long non-coding RNA is filed under the name Mytilus galloprovincialis (Mediterranean mussel). The record is from RNAcentral. Lineage: Eukaryota; Metazoa; Mollusca; Bivalvia; Mytilida; Mytilidae.
GUUUACUGUUGAAUUUGAUCAUUAUUAUAGCAAAGAACUAUAUAUACAAAUGUAAAUUGUAUGAAAAGAAACCAAGUAUUAUAGGGCUAUUAGCAAAAAUAGAAAAAUAUCAGGAAAAUGAACAUUAUAUAGCAAAGAAAAAUGGUACCACACCUUAUUUUCAAAAAUUCUGGGCCCCAGUAGAUUACAUUUUUACUGAUUAGUCACCAUUACUUUUGAUUCAAAUCAUAUAAAAUAAAAAAUAAAACUUAAUUUAUAAAGAGCAGAUCUUUACAAAGAUAACAUUUUUCUUUGCAAUACACAAGUUGAUAUAUGUUAUGUUAAUGCAAGUGCGAGAGUGUGUGUGUGUAUGUGUGUGUGAUUGUU